This 74-nucleotide transfer RNA is filed under the name Patescibacteria group bacterium. Its description in RNAcentral is "tRNA-Gly". It matches the Rfam family "tRNA". Rfam says of the family: Transfer RNA (tRNA) molecules are approximately 80 nucleotides in length. Their secondary structure includes four short double-helical elements and three loops (D, anti-codon, and T loops). The record is from RNAcentral.
GCGGGUGUAACACAAUGGCAGUGUGAUAGCUUUCCAAGCUAUUUAUGUGGGUUCGAUUCCCAUCACCCGCUCCA